This 978-nucleotide ribosomal RNA is filed under the name uncultured eukaryote. RNAcentral describes it as "bacterial SSU rRNA". It matches the Rfam family "Eukaryotic small subunit ribosomal RNA", at positions 586 to 1605 of the family's 1831-position model. The record is from RNAcentral.
CAGCUCCAAUAGCGUAUAUUAAAAUUGCUGCAGUUAAAGCGUCCGUAGUUGGAUUUCGUCCAAUUCGAAGAGAAGUCUGUCUGACCUCGUGUUAGUCAGUACACUUUUCGUUUCGGACUCGGGUGGAAUAGCUUCGGCUAUGCCGCUCUGUUACUUUGAGCAAAUUGGAGUGCUCCAACCAGGCUACAGCUUGAACAGCUCAGCAUGGAAUAACAAUAUAGGACUGCAAUCCUCCUUGUUGGUGACAUGGAACGCAAGUAAUGGUUGAUAGGGACAUACGGGGGCAUCUGUACUUGCUGGAGAGAGGUGAAAUUCUAAGACCCAGCAAAGACAAACAAGUGCGAAAGCAUUUGCCCAGUGUGUGCCUGUUAAUCAAGGACGAAAGUUGGGGGAUCGAAGACGAUUAGAUACCGUCGUAGUCCCAACUAUAAACUAUGCCGACUGAGGAUCGGAGGCUGUACAAAUACGACUCCUUCGGCACUCCAAGAGAAAUCUAAGUCUCUGGGCCCUGGGGGGAGUAUGGUCGCAAGGCUGAAACUUAAAGGAAUUGACGGAAGGGCACCACCAGGAGUGGAGCCUGCGGCUUAAUUUGGCUCAACGCGGGGAACCUCACCAGGCCCGGACAUAGUCAUGAUUGACAGAUUGAGAGUUCUUUCUCGAUUCUAUGGGUGGUGGUGCAUGGCCGUUCUUAGUCGGUGAGGUGACUUGUCUGGUUAAUUCCGAUAACGGACGAGACCUCGACCUACUAAAUAGCCGACGUUUACUUCUGUAGGCGUUUGGCUUCUUAGAGGGACUUUGUGAGUCUAUCACAAGGAAGUUCGAGCCUAUAACAGGUCUGUGAUGCCCUUAGAUGGCCUGGGCUGCACGUGCGCUACAAUGACGGAGUCGGCGAGCUCUGCCCUUCUCCGUCCGGAGUGGGAAAUCUUGUGAAACUCCGUCGUGAUAGGGAUUGACCUUUGCAAUUAUGGGUCAUGAACG